GCCUGUGAUGAAUAGUUUUUAAUGGUUGAUUGCAGCAAAUGUGAGGUUUAAUCUUGCAUUAUGUUGAUAUUUUUGUACUAGGACGGUCUGAGGC
This is a small nucleolar RNA of Amaranthus tricolor (Joseph's coat), 94 nucleotides long. RefSeq annotates it as small nucleolar RNA snoR20a. The record is from RefSeq and is a predicted model, not a curated record. The transcript has a single exon. NCBI's taxonomy places the organism in Eukaryota, Viridiplantae, Streptophyta, Magnoliopsida, Caryophyllales, Amaranthaceae.